GACGAACGCUGGCGGCGUGCUUAACACAUGCAAGUCGAACGCAAAGGCCCUGCUUUUUUGGGGUUCUCGAGUGGGGAAAGGGUGAGUAUCACGCGAGUAACCUCCCCUCUCCUUUGGGAUAUCUCCCGGAAACUGGGGUUAUUACCGGAUAGAUGCUCCUGCUGUAUGGUGGGGGUUGGAAAGUUUGGGUGGUUGGGGAGGGACUCGCGUCUUAGCAGCUGGUCGGUGGGGUGGUGGCUUCCCCAGCCUUUGACGGGUAGCCGGCCGGAGAGGGUAGCCGGCCACAUUGGGACUGAGGUCCAGCCCAGACAGCUGCGGGGAGCAGCAGGGGGGGAUAGUGCACAAUGGGCGGAAGCCUGAUGCAGCGAAGCCGGGUGCGGGAUGACGGCCUUCGGGUUGUAAACCGCUUUCGCGUGUGACGAAGCGUGAGUGACGGUAAUGGGUAAAGAAGCACCGGCUAACUACGUG
This 468-nucleotide ribosomal RNA is filed under the name uncultured bacterium. RNAcentral describes it as "partial 16S ribosomal RNA". It matches the Rfam family "Bacterial small subunit ribosomal RNA", at positions 28 to 507 of the family's 1533-position model. The record is from RNAcentral.